CCUUCUAGGUGGUGGAGACCCAAAGGGAGCUUGAAGUCUAGAGUGGUAGCCAAAAAGAAAGGAGAGAAACACCUUGGGAGAUAGCUUUGAUUUGGUUGUAAUUGUUGGCUUUGUAAUCUUUCUUCUUUUUCUUCUCUUGUAACUCAUGGCCUUGUUAGGUGUCUUGGGGGAGUCUUUGGUGCUCAAUCCCAUCUCCUAACAAGAACCUUUAUUUCUUAGUAAAUUUCGUUUUUAGUUGGUUGGUUGGAGGAACCAAAGUUCUUCUAACUUAAUCAUUAGGCCGCAUAGCUAGUUUAUUUGCUUUCUUUAAUUGUGAUAGCU
This 321-nucleotide long non-coding RNA is filed under the name Vigna radiata. RNAcentral's name for it is "long non-coding RNA (VRAD_LNC015369)". The record is from RNAcentral. Lineage: Eukaryota; Viridiplantae; Streptophyta; Magnoliopsida; Fabales; Fabaceae.